This 253-nucleotide ribosomal RNA is filed under the name uncultured bacterium. RNAcentral describes it as "partial 16S ribosomal RNA". It matches the Rfam family "Bacterial small subunit ribosomal RNA", at positions 524 to 776 of the family's 1533-position model. The record is from RNAcentral.
UACAGAGGAGGCAAGCGUUGUUCGGAAUCACUGGGCUUAAAGCGCGUGUAGGCGGCGCGGUAAGUGUUCUGUGAAAUCCCACGGCUCACCCGUGGAACUGCAGGGCAUACUGCCGUGCUUGAGGCAGGUAGGGGCCACUGGAACUCUCGGUGGAACGGUGAAAUGUGUAGAUAUCGAGAGGAACGCCCGAGGCGAAAGCGGGUGGCUGGGCCUGUCCUGACGCUGAGACGCGAAAGCGUGGGGAGCAAACGGG